AAAAGCUCCAGGAGGGCAAGGUGACCCUUGACUUACUCCUCAGACAGCUAUUAAACAGGCAAGAAGCCGAAGGAGUACCUUUACUUCAUCACUUUCCUGCUCUUGGAGGACUUUUACAGAACAUCAGGAUUCACAUAUAAAGUUCUCCAUAGUGAAAAUAUGGACCACAAAUUGUUUUUUGGCAUAACCUUGAUGGUGGGAUCUUGGAUGCUGGAUGGAACGGCAAGCCAAGUUUCCGCACAGUCUUUCACAACAAACAUCACCAACACAGCCUGUGGAAACACCAAGCAGUGUCUGAGCAGCCCGAUGUCCUGCAACCCAAUGGGCAACACAUCAUGUCUGUUUGCCUCCGUCUCGCUGCAAGGAAACAACAUGACUGUGGAGCUUCAAGGGUAUUCUCCUGGGUACAUCGCACUGGGACUCAACGCUGCAAACGCAACACAAAACGCUACGGUGUUUGCCUGUGCCAAUAUAAACAGCAAUGUCUCCUUAUUCACCACCAUGUUCACCAACAGCUCCCUGGUCCAAAUGAGCACAACAAACAUCACCAACACAGCCUGUGGAAACACCAAGCAGUGUCUGAGCAGCCCGAUGUCCUGCAACCCAAUGGGCAACACAUCGUGUCUGUUUGCCUCCGUCUCGCUGCAAGGAAACAACAUGACUGUGGAGCUUCAAGGGUAUUCUCCUGGGUACAUCGCACUGGGACUCAACGCUGCAAACGCAACACAAAACGCUACGGUGUUUGCCUGUGCCAAUAUAAACAGCAACGUCUCCUUAUUCACCACCAUGUUCACCAACAGCUCCCUGGUCCAAAUGAGCACAGUUAAUGUGAGCUCAAUUCAGGGCUCAGCCAAGGGGACCCUCCUUCAGUGCAUCUUCAGUGUCACUAACUUCAGCUCCUUGCUCAUGAUCAGUGGUGGUGUCACUAGCGUUUAUGGCUUCCUCGCUACUGGGAAUGUCACCAACGGAACACUGCAAGCUCCAGUCAUACAGCUGCAACCUAGUCUGCUGAUCUUGUCUAACAUCUCCACCACUACUGCUUCCCCAACCACCAGCAGCAGCCCUCCAAUCUCCAUUGUCACACAGUCUCUCACUAAAAACAUCACCAACGCAGACUGUGGGAAGACCAAGCGGUGUCUCAGCUUUCCAGAAUCCUGCAACCCAGCGGGCAGCACACCUUGUCUUUUCACCUCCACCAACUUCACAGCACAGGGCAACGUGGCCUUUGAGCUCCGAGGGGAGUCCCCAUCCCCUGGGUACAUCGCAGUGGGACUGAGCAACAGAAGCUCAUUGCAAAAUGGCUUAAUGUUUGCCUGCGCCCAACAAAAUAGCACCAUCUCCAUCUACAACAUCCUGGUGAAAAAUAAUGAGCUGUUCCAGAACAACAUGGUCAGUCUGAGCUCAGGUCAGGGCUCCUUCAGCAGGAACAUCACUCAGUGCACCUUCACUGCCAACUUCAGCUCUGCAGUCUUAACUCGAGCAUCUACCUUGAGCUUUUACGUCUUGCUUGCUAAUGGCACCAUCAUCAAUGGAACACUGCAGGCACCAAAUGUUCAGCUGUCCUCAAACCUCGUGGACCUUUCAACUAGUGGCAGCACUUCACCUAUUUACUCUAUCUUGGCUCUGCUAAUACCACUCAGUGUGGUGACCUUUCAGCUGUUUUGAGGACCUGAAAACAACCAGAUGAAGACAACAGGGUGAUCAAU
Long non-coding RNA from Scleropages formosus (Asian bonytongue), 1706 nucleotides. The record is from Ensembl. Lineage: Eukaryota; Metazoa; Chordata; Actinopteri; Osteoglossiformes; Osteoglossidae.